Molecule: ribosomal RNA, 969 nt
Filed under: uncultured Streptococcus sp.
Lineage: Bacteria; Bacillati; Bacillota; Bacilli; Lactobacillales; Streptococcaceae
Description: bacterial SSU rRNA
Rfam family: Bacterial small subunit ribosomal RNA
Source: RNAcentral
GGUAUAAUUUUCUUAUUUUUAGACGUAAGCGAGAGCAGGCGGUUAGAUAAUAUCUGAAGUUAAAGGCAGUAGCUCAACCAUUGUAGGCUUUGGAAACUGUUUAACUUGAGUGCAGAAGGGGAGAGUGGAAUUCCAUGUGUAGCGGUGAAAUGCGUAGAUAUAUGGAGGAACACCGGUGGCGAAAGCGGCUCUCUGGUCUGUAACUGACGCUGAGGCUCGAAAGCGUGGGGAGCGAACAGGAUUAGAUACCCUGGUAGUCCACGCCGUAAACGAUGAGUGCUAGGUGUUAGGUCCUUUCCGGGACUUAGUGCCGCAGCUAACGCAUUAAGCACUCCGCCUGGGGAGUACGACCGCAAGGUUGAAACUCAAAGGAAUUGACGGGGGCCCGCACAAGCGGUGGAGCAUGUGGUUUAAUUCGAAGCAACGCGAAGAACCUUACCAGGUCUUGACAUCCCGAUGCCCGCUCUAGAGAUAGAGCUUUACUUCGGUACAUCGGUGACAGGUGGUGCAUGGUUGUCGUCAGCUCGUGUCGUGAGAUGUUGGGUUAAGUCCCGCAACGAGCGCAACCCUUAUUGUUAGUUGCCAUCAUUCAGUUGGGCACUCUAGCGAGACUGCCGGUAAUAAACCGGAGGAAGGUGGGGAUGACGUCAAAUCAUCAUGCCCCUUAUGACCUGGGCUACACACGUGCUACAAUGGCUGGUACAACGAGUCGCAAGCCGGUGACGGCAAGCUAAUCUCUGAAAGCCAGUCUCAGUUCGGAUUGUAGGCUGCAACUCGCCUACAUGAAGUCGGAAUCGCUAGUAAUCGCGGAUCAGCACGCCGCGGUGAAUACGUUCCCGGGCCUUGUACACACCGCCCGUCACACCACGAGAGUUUGUAACACCCGAAGUCGGUGAGGUAACCGUAAGGAGCCAGCCGCCUAAGGUGGGAUAGAUGAUUGGGGUGAAGUCGUAACAGGGGUAGCCGUUA